RNAcentral lists this ribosomal RNA (496 nucleotides) under uncultured bacterium. RNAcentral's name for it is "partial 16S ribosomal RNA". It matches the Rfam family "Bacterial small subunit ribosomal RNA", at positions 28 to 506 of the family's 1533-position model. The record is from RNAcentral.
GAUGAACGCUGGCGGCGUGCCUAAUACAUGCAAGUCGAGCGAACAGACGAGGAGCUUGCUCCUCUGACGUUAGCGGCGGACGGGUGAGUAACACGUGGAUAACCUACCUAUAAGACUGGGAUAACUUCGGGAAACCGGAGCUAAUACCGGAUAAUAUAUUGAACCGCAUGGUUCAAUAGUGAAAGACGGUUUUGCUGUCACUUAUAGAUGGAUCCGCGCCGCAUUAGCUAGUUGGUAAGGUAACGGCUUACCAAGGCGACGAUGCGUAGCCGACCUGAGAGGGGGAUGGGCACACCUGGACCGGAGCCACGGGCCAGACCCCUAGGGGGGCAAGCAGGAGGGAUUCUUCCGCAAGGGGCGAAAGCCUGAGGGAGCAACGCCGGGGGGGUGAUGAAGGCUUUCGGAUCGUAAACCUCUGUUAUUAGGGAAAAAAAAAUUUUAAAGACACCAUGCACUUUUGGACGGUACCUAAUCAAAAAGCCACGGCUAACUACGU